GUGUCAUUUUGGUCUUUUGUGGAUAGUUGUUUCAUUGGCAAUCAUACCACAUCUCCUUUUUUAUAUUUCCUCAUUUUUACGCAUGUUGUGGCAUUUAGGUACUCCGUAAACCCUCUUAUGGCAUUGCGAAUCAAAAUAUAGCUUUAGAGUCAACAGUCAAUUUUUUUUAUAUUUAUUUCACUAUUCACCGCUUCAAUUUGAA
RNAcentral lists this long non-coding RNA (202 nucleotides) under Mytilus galloprovincialis (Mediterranean mussel). Lineage: Eukaryota; Metazoa; Mollusca; Bivalvia; Mytilida; Mytilidae. The record is from RNAcentral.